This is a long non-coding RNA of Pseudopipra pipra, 2773 nucleotides long. RefSeq lists it as uncharacterized. Lineage: Eukaryota; Metazoa; Chordata; Aves; Passeriformes; Pipridae. The record is from RefSeq and is a predicted model, not a curated record. The transcript is spliced from 3 exons.
AGCUGGGUGAGCUCACCCAGGCUGCACCGGGCAGCUGCACAUACUGACCUGGGAAGGGCUGGUGGGCACUAGGCAGAGGAGACAUCUCUGUUCCCACCAGGACUGUCACCAUGGGAACUUUAGGGAUGGAGGCCAUUUACGGCUGGUUGUAAACCCUGACUCUGACAGCAAAGCCUUUCUUCGCCUUUUUCUCUGGACUUGGCCCUGGCUUCUUAGAGAAAGCAGGCUCACAUUCUACCUCCGGCUGGCUCUGCACACACAUCCCCUGGCACUGAGCGCUGGCCCGCUGCGUGGGAGCUGCUCAAGCUCAGGGAAGUGUCCUGGCUCUCUCUCCCACAGAAAGUGGAGCAGACGCCUGAGGUUGCUGAACACUACAGGUCUGAUAUCUCUGCAGACACCUGUGGAUGCAGGGGGAGAGAAAUAGUGGGUUCGCUUUUCUUCUGUGGUGCCAUUACCCCUUGGAGGAGCUCUCAGAUCAUUUGUGAAGCAAAGGAUCUCUUCUAAGGUCUAGCUCCCUUCAUCAGGCUCCCAGCUUUGAGGCUGGAAAGGCUCAUCUUUUGCCUUGGCCAAAGCUGAAAAUGCUGCAGACAGAGGAAGAGCUGGCAGGAACCAGCCUGUGGAGGAGAAGUUGAGGGCAGAAGGACUUCAGCAGUCAGAUCUCAUCUGGUCCUUAUUCCAAUGCCAAAUGCUUCUGUGAAGACACUUGUGCCGUACAGUAUCUGAGGUCCACCCCAGUUUGGAUGCCUGCCUGGCCUUCCUCUAGAGAGAGAGAGGUUAAAACACAAAGCUGAUCAAGAAUUGCUCCUUCUCCAGCUGAUCAACUCCUGUCAAAAAAAAAGUCACACACACAACUUCUUGAUGCUGCUCCGUCUCCUGGGAGCUGCAGUCCAGGUAGCUCAUGACCCUCUUGUCCUGUUGCAGGGCCAACACCCUAGUUGGACCUCUGAUCUCACCAUGAGCCACAAUGCCCUGCUAACAAAAUGUGGUGGCGUGACCAUGGUGCUGAAUGGGAGCCUCCAUGGCUGGGGGGCAGUCUGGCAGGGCAGGGCAGAGCCUGGUAGGGCAGGACUUGGGGACCAGGAGGCAGCCCCGGUUCUUCAGGGUGAAGGCCUGGGGAAGGGAGAGUGUUUGGCCAGACUGCCUGGCUUUCAGGAGUUCAGGUUUGUGUUAAAACCAGUUAUAAGUUCUUCUCCCUGCAGAAUCCAGAACCUGGUGUUACAACAGGAUAAAAGAUUCAAUACUUCAGUAUUACAAUUUGGACUCAAUGAUCCCUGUGGGUCCCUUUCAACUCAGGAUAUUCUAAUAGGAAGAGAAAGUUCCAAGAGAUAUCCUCCAGCCACUCUGCAGAGGAAGCCUUUCAGUGGAGAGCUGCCCACUGAUGCUCCCUUUCUCAAUGGCCCUCGCAUGCACAAACACUAUCCAUCUCAGUUUUCCUCACACCUUGAGGUCCAACUCUGCCUGUUGUGCUUGCCAGGACCUGUGACUCCACCUGCAUAGGAAGACAUCUCCUGGCAAAGUGGUGCACUUGGAAUAACAUGGACCACUGCUUUCUCCAUUCUUCUUAUGCUUCACGUGCCCUGAGUUCCGUGGCAGAUGAGCCACUGGCUGGUACCCUGGCUGGAAGAUGGAUGAGCCACCCCCAUGCUCCUGACACAGCCUGAAUGCAGACUUUCUGCUUUCACCUAGGUUUGAGACCAGGAAGAGGAGAUGUAUUUCCUGAGAAAAAGUGACAGGGUUUGUCCUGGUCUUCCUGUUGGAUUCUGGGAGAAAAAUCGAAAGGCUUGGCUGCUUUGUGAGGAAGCUGCACAAGAAGUCUCCAGCUGUGACACUUUGCAGGGGAACCAUCAGACAUCCCAGUGGGGAGAGCACCACAUGUCAGGAGGAGUUUGGAGGGUAGAGCAAAGCAUCAACACAGGAGGCAGGAUGAGCCUAUGGAAACCAGCUGCAGCACAGAGGAGGAAGAAGGACCUGAAGUAUCAUGGGAUGGGAAUAGGGGACCCCAGUUUGCAGACAUCACCCAGUUGGGCUCACACCAAGGAUGUGAAAGGCAGCUAUAACCAUGCUAGAGUGCUGGCUGGAGAAACAGGUCUUGAUAUACAGCAGCAAACACUCAUAACAAAGAAAAAGCAUUUAAAAAUGUUGUACUGCUUGGCUGCUCCAGCUGAGUUUUGUAGUAAGGCUGUUGCCUGGUGUGCUGCGCCCCCACUUUGCUGCCUACUGCAUGGGAGCAGAGCUUGUCACUGUGGGUCACCAGGGACAGUCACCUUAAUUGGCUUAAACCACAGAUUAACUCAGGCCUCCAGCUGUGCCACCCAUCCCAAGGGAAGGUCUCUGAAACAGUGACCGCCCUGAAAAUUCCUCCUGUGGUCACUUUUGUAAAGCCCUGCUCAGCUCGGAGAGGGAUGGAGAAAGCAGUUAGUGGCAUUCUGCUUCUAAAAAGCAGUCAUGUUUCAGCUGUGAUUCAUGUGUCUGGGGAUUCAGCCUGUUUUGGUAAUUUGCGGAAAGCCAGUUCAGCAGAAUUGCUAACCAGCUAUUUACUGAUGCCGCCAGUGUGAUGGAAGGUUGUUGCUUCCCCACCUGGAAGACAUGGGGGAUACUAUUGCCGGCAAAGAUUGGGGCACAGCAUCAUAUCCUUCAUAAUGUUGUAGGAGAUGUGCAGAGAUGGGGACCACUUGUGACUGUGGGGCUAGUCUGGGUUGGUGUUUUUUUAACUUUAUUUCUUUGAAAGAGCAAUAAACACCUUUGGACCUCCCUGCAGAGGACUGAGUUGUAA